RNAcentral lists this ribosomal RNA (321 nucleotides) under uncultured eukaryote. Its description in RNAcentral is "partial 18S ribosomal RNA". It matches the Rfam family "Eukaryotic small subunit ribosomal RNA", at positions 1470 to 1796 of the family's 1831-position model. The record is from RNAcentral.
CCCUUAGAUGUCCUGGGCCGCACGCGCGCUACACUGACAUGUUCAACAAGCCUCCUAGUUCGACAGGAUUUGGGAAAUCUUUGAACGCAUGUCGUGAUAGGGAUAGAUCAUUGCAAUUAUUGAUCUUGAACGAGGAAUUCCUAGUAAACGCGAGUCAUCAGCUCGCAUUGAUUACGUCCCUGCCCUUUGUACACACCGCCCGUCGCACCUACCGAUUGAAUGUUUCGGUGAAGAUUCCGGAUAGGACUUUUUUGAUUUAUUUCAAUUUUUUCUUAAAAGCUAUCUAAACCUCAACAUUUAGAGGAAGGUGAAGUCGUAACA